Molecule: ribosomal RNA, 426 nt
Filed under: Probreviceps macrodactylus (Usambara big-fingered frog)
Lineage: Eukaryota; Metazoa; Chordata; Amphibia; Anura; Brevicipitidae
Description: partial 12S ribosomal RNA
Rfam family: Bacterial small subunit ribosomal RNA
Source: RNAcentral
AAUGGGGAUUAGAUACCCCAAUUAUGCUUAACCGUAAAAAAUUAACUUUACAUUAUCACCGCCAGGGUAUUACGAGCAAAAGCUUAAAACCCAAAGGACUUGACGGUAUCCCACCCACCUAGAGGAGCCUGUUCUAUAAUCGACACCACCCGCUAUACCCCACUGCUUCUUGCAUAUCAGCCUGUAUACCUCCGUCGCAAGCCUGCCAUAUGAAUGUCUUAAAGCAAGCCUAAUGAUCCACUCACCACAACGUCAGGUCAAGGUGCAGCCCACAAAGCAGUUCGAAAUGGGCUACAAUUUCUAUAUUAGAACAAACGAAAGGCCACAUGAAAUCUAUCCAUGAAGGCGGAUUUAGUAGUAAAAAGAAAAUAGAGAGUUCUUUUUAAUAAGGCACUGGGACAUGUACACACCGCCCGUCACCCUUAA